This 581-nucleotide ribosomal RNA is filed under the name uncultured bacterium. Its description in RNAcentral is "bacterial SSU rRNA". It matches the Rfam family "Bacterial small subunit ribosomal RNA", at positions 1 to 577 of the family's 1533-position model. The record is from RNAcentral.
UGUGAUUAGAGUUUGAUCCUGGCUCAGAUUGAACGCUGGCGGAAUGCUUUACACAUGCAAGUCGAGCGGCAGCGCGGUCUUCGGACUGGCGGCGAGCGGCGAACGGGUGAGUAAUACAUCGGAACAUGCCCAGUCGUGGGGGAUAACACUUCGAAAGAAGUGCUAAUACCGCAUACGUCCUGAGGGAGAAAGCGGGGGAUCGCAAGACCUCGCGCGAUUGGAGUGGCCGAUGUCAGAUUAGCUAGUUGGUGGGGUAAAGGCCUACCAAGGCAACGAUCUGUAGCUGGUCUGAGAGGAUGAUCAGCCACACUGGGACUGAGACACGGCCCAUACUCCUACGGGAGGCAGCAGUGGGGAAUUUUGGACAAUGGGGGCAACCCUGAUCCAGCCAUUCCGCGUGAGUGAAGAAGGCCUUCGGGUUGUAAAGCUCUUUCGGCAGGAACGAAACGGCGAGCUCUAACAUAGCUCGCUAAUGACGGUACCUGAAGAAGAAGCACCGGCUAACUACGUGCCAGCAGCCGCGGUAAUACGUAGGGUGCGAGCGUUAAUCGGAAUUACUGGGCGUAAAGCGUGCGCAGGCG